UACGGAGGUGGCAGGCGUUACUCGGAUUGAUUGGGUGUAAAGGGCGUGUAGGUGGCAAGCUAAGUCGAAUGUGAAAUCCCUUGGCUCAACCAAGGAACUGCAUUCGAAACUGAUUUGCUUGAGCGACGGAGAGGAAAGCGGAAUUCCCGGUGUAACAGUGAAAUGUGUAGAUAUCGGGAGGAACACCAGUGGCGAAGGCGGCUUUCUGGCUGUCCGCUGACACUGAAACGCGAGAGCUAGGGGAG
Molecule: ribosomal RNA, 245 nt
Filed under: uncultured Bacillota bacterium
Lineage: Bacteria; Bacillati; Bacillota
Description: uncultured Firmicutes bacterium partial 16S ribosomal RNA
Rfam family: Bacterial small subunit ribosomal RNA
Source: RNAcentral